UAGAUCCUGUUCACACGUACAUGGUUAUUUUGACAAAUGGAGACAUUUCCCUUCGUUUGUGCCCUUCGUUUACACGUGAACGGAGAAUUCCCCUCUGAAAAGCCAGAGGGGAGAUU
Molecule: long non-coding RNA, 116 nt
Organism: Etheostoma spectabile (orangethroat darter)
Lineage: Eukaryota; Metazoa; Chordata; Actinopteri; Perciformes; Percidae
Exons: 3
Source: RefSeq, a predicted model, not a curated record